This 253-nucleotide ribosomal RNA is filed under the name uncultured bacterium. RNAcentral's name for it is "partial 16S ribosomal RNA". It matches the Rfam family "Bacterial small subunit ribosomal RNA", at positions 524 to 776 of the family's 1533-position model. The record is from RNAcentral.
UACGUAGGCAGCGAGCGUUGUUCGGAGUUACUGGGCGUAAAGGGUGUGUAGGCGGUCCUCUAAGUUUGGUGUGAAAUCUCCCGGCUCAACCGGGAGGGUGCGCCGAAAACUGGAGGGCUAGAGUGCGGGAAGGGAGAGUGGAAUUCCUGGUGUAGCGGUGAAAUGCGUAGAUAUCAGGAGGAACACCGGUGGUGCAGACGGCUCUCUGGACCGCGACUGACGCUGAGACACGAAAGCGUGGGUAGCAAACAGG